UCUGAACCUUCGGGGGACGAUAACGGCGUCGAGCGGCGGACGGGUGAGUAAUGCCUAGGAAAUUGCCCUGAUGUGGGGGAUAACCAUUGGAAACGAUGGCUAAUACCGCAUAAUGCCUACGGGCCAAAGAGGGGGACCUUCGGGCCUCUCGCGUCAGGAUAUGCCUAGGUGGGAUUAGCUAGUUGGUGAGGUAAUGGCUCACCAAGGCGACGAUCCCUAGCUGGUCUGAGAGGAUGAUCAGCCACACUGGAACUGAGACACGGUCCAGACUCCUACGGGAGGCAGCAGUGGGGAAUAUUGCACAAUGGGCGCAAGCCUGAUGCAGCCAUGCCGCGUGUGUGAAGAAGGCCUUCGGGUUGUAAAGCACUUUCAGUCGUGAGGAAGGU
RNAcentral lists this ribosomal RNA (386 nucleotides) under Vibrio owensii. Its description in RNAcentral is "bacterial SSU rRNA". It matches the Rfam family "Bacterial small subunit ribosomal RNA", at positions 66 to 452 of the family's 1533-position model. Lineage: Bacteria; Pseudomonadati; Pseudomonadota; Gammaproteobacteria; Vibrionales; Vibrionaceae. The record is from RNAcentral.